Molecule: ribosomal RNA, 747 nt
Filed under: Clostridium sp. AM51-4
Lineage: Bacteria; Bacillati; Bacillota; Clostridia; Eubacteriales; Clostridiaceae
Description: bacterial SSU rRNA
Rfam family: Bacterial small subunit ribosomal RNA
Source: RNAcentral
UUUAACAUGAGAGUUUGAUCCUGGCUCAGGAUGAACGCUGGCGGCGUGCUUAACACAUGCAAGUCGAGCGAAGCAAUUUAAGUGAAGUUUUCGGAUGGAUCUUAAAUUGACUGAGCGGCGGACGGGUGAGUAACGCGUGGAUAACCUGCCUCACACAGGGGGAUAACAGUUAGAAAUGACUGCUAAUACCGCAUAAGCGCACGGUACCGCAUGGUACAGUGUGAAAAACUCCGGUGGUGUGAGAUGGAUCCGCGUCUGAUUAGGUAGUUGGUGAGGUAACGGCCCACCAAGCCGACGAUCAGUAGCCGACCUGAGAGGGUGACCGGCCACAUUGGGACUGAGACACGGCCCAAACUCCUACGGGAGGCAGCAGUGGGGAAUAUUGCACAAUGGGCGAAAGCCUGAUGCAGCAACGCCGCGUGAGUGAAGAAGUAUCUCGGUAUGUAAAGCUCUAUCAGCAGGGAAGAAAAUGACGGUACCUGACUAAGAAGCCCCGGCUAACUACGUGCCAGCAGCCGCGGUAAUACGUAGGGGGCAAGCGUUAUCCGGAUUUACUGGGUGUAAAGGGAGCGCAGACGGCACUGCAAGUCUGAAGUGAAAGCCCGGGGCUCAACCCCGGGACUGCUUUGGAAACUGUAGAGCUAGAGUGCUGGAGAGGCAAGCGGAAUUCCUAGUGUAGCGGUGAAAUGCGUAGAUAUUAGGAAGAACACCAGUGGCGAAGGCGGCUUGCUGGACAGUAACUGACGU